AUCUAAAUAGUUUAUAUAAAAUAUUGAUUUGUGGAAUCAAAGAUAUAAAAAAUUUAUUUUAGAUA
RNAcentral lists this transfer RNA (65 nucleotides) under Chrysolina hyperici. Its description in RNAcentral is "tRNA-His". The record is from RNAcentral. Lineage: Eukaryota; Metazoa; Arthropoda; Insecta; Coleoptera; Chrysomelidae.